This 468-nucleotide ribosomal RNA is filed under the name uncultured bacterium. RNAcentral describes it as "partial 16S ribosomal RNA". It matches the Rfam family "Bacterial small subunit ribosomal RNA", at positions 28 to 507 of the family's 1533-position model. The record is from RNAcentral.
GACGAACGCUGGCGGCGUGCUUAACACAUGCAAGUCGAACGGAAAGGCCCUGCUUUUGUGGGGUGCUCGAGUGGCGAACGGGUGAGUAACACGUGAGUAACCUGCCCUUGACCUUGGGAUAACUUCAGGAAACUGGGGCUAAUACCGGAUAGGAGCUCCUGCUGCAUGGUGGGGGUUGGAAAGUUUCGGCGGUUGGGGAUGGACUCGCGGCUUAUCAGCUUGUUGGUGGGGUAGUGGCUUACCAAGGCUUUGACGGGUAGCCGGCCUGAGAGGGUGACCGGCCACAUUGGGACUGAGAUACGGCCCAGACUCCUACGGGAGGCAGCAGUGGGGAACAUUGCACAAUGGGCGGAAGCCUGAUGCAGCAACGCCGCGUGCGGGAUGACGGCCUUCGGGUUGUAAACCGCUUUCGCCUGUGACGAAGCGUGAGUGACGGUAAUGGGUAAAGAAGCACCGGCUAACUACGUG